This 391-nucleotide long non-coding RNA is filed under the name Cricetulus griseus (Chinese hamster). Its description in RNAcentral is "lncRNA (ENSCGRG00015040306.1)". The record is from RNAcentral. Lineage: Eukaryota; Metazoa; Chordata; Mammalia; Rodentia; Cricetidae.
AGCUAAGCCGUUUUUAAAAAAACAACAACAACAACAGGCUGACAGACAAGUAAUAAUCUAACAAAUGGCUAGAAAGGAGUGAAAACCAAAAGCAACUUCUCUGCAAAGCAACAGCCACAAAGAUAACAGAGACUGUGCUAUGAUCAAGUAGCUGCCAUAGUAUUCAGAAAAGAGAGUGUGAUCUUCUGGAAAUGGACAAAUAAAUGUGCAGCAUGUCAGAGUCCUGUGUUCCACUCAAACUGUUUCCCUUUAGUGGCCUCUUCUCAUGACAGAGCCUUGCAGACAGAUUGCCUUUGAGUAAGUUGCAAAUGUCACAGAGCCCGAAAAGAGCCAGAGGGGGACUUGAAGAGAAGACUACUAUGAAACAAGGAUGCAAUUAUCUCAAAUGAAA